UUUUUCAAGCAGAAGACGGCAUACGAGAUAUAUCAGUGUGACUGGAGUUCAGACGUGUGCUCUUCCGAUCUGCGUAGACAACUAGGACGUUGGCUUAGAAGCAGCCACUCAUUUAAAGAGUGCGUAAUAGCUCACUAGUCGAGUGAUUGUGCGCCGAAAAUGUAACGGGGCUAAAAUUCAUACCGAAGCUUAGGAAUGAUAGUAAUAUUGUUGGUAGAUGAGCGUUGUGUAAGUCUGCGAAGCUACACCGAAAGGAGUAGUGGAGAUAUCACAAGCGAGAAUGCCGGAAUGAGUAGCGAGAAUUAUGUGAGAAUCAUAAUGGUCGAAAAUCUAAGGUUUCUUGAGGAAGGUUCGUCCGCUCAAGGUAAGCCGGGAGCUAAGGCGAGGCCGAGAGGCGUAGUCGAUGCACAUACGGUAAAGAUUCCGUAGCCACCGAAGUUGUUAAAUACAGGGACACAGGAACAUAGCCUAACCCCACCGUUGGUUGAGUGGGGCGUAAGGGAGCGAAAAUUAGUAGCGAAGUAGGUGAUUGUACACUGGCGAGAAAAGCUGUAUGAAUUGACCAGGUGCCCGUACCGCAAACCGACACAGGUAGAUGAGGAGAGAAUCCUAAGACCAGCGGGAGAAGUGUUGUUAAGGAACUCGGCAAAAUGACCCCGUAACUUCGGGAUAAGGGGAGCCUACGCGAGUAGGCCGCAGAGAAUAGUCUCAAGCGACUGUUUAGCAAAAACACAGGUCUAUGCUAAAUCGAAAGAUGAUGUAUAUGGGCUGACGCCUGCCCGGUGCUGGAAGGUUAAGGGGAAGUGUUAGAGCAAUCGAAGCACUGAACUUAAGCCCCAGUAAACGGCGGCCGUAACUAUAACGGUCCUAAGGUAGCGAAAUUCCUUGUCAGGUAAGUUCUGACCCGCACGAAUGGCGUAACGACUUGAGAGCUGUCUCAACAACAUACCCGGCGAAAUUGAAGUACUGGUAAAGAUGCCAGUUACCCGUGAUAAGACGGAAAGACCCCAUGGAGCUUUACUGUAACUUGAUAUUGAAUUUUUGUAUUACAUGUACAGGAUAGGUGGGAGACAGAGAACUAAUGCCGCCAGGUGUUAGGGAGUCGAUGUUGGGAUACCACUCUUGUAAUAUGAAGGUUCUAACCUGCACCCGUGAAUCCGGGUGGGGGACACUGUCAGGUGGACAGUUUGACUGGGGCGGUCGCCUCCUAAAAGGUAACGGAGGCGUUCAAAGGUUGGUUCAGCACGGACGGAAAUCGUGCAACGAGUGCAAACGCAUAAACCAGCCUAACUGCGAGACCGACAAGUCGAGCAGUAACGAAAGUUGGAGUUAGUGAUCCGGCGGUAUGAGAGUGGAAUUGCCGUCGCUCAACGGAUAAAAGCUACCCUGGGGAUAACAGGCUGAUCUCCCCCAAGAGUCCACAUCGACGGGGAGGUUUGGCACCUCGAUGUCGGCUCAUCGCAUCCUGGAGCUGUAGUCGGUUCCAAGGGUUGGGCUGUUCGCCCAUUAAAGCGGUACGCGAGCUGGGUUCAGAACGUCGCGAGACAGUUCGGUCCCUAUCUAUCACGGGCGUAGGAAAUUUGAGGAGAGCUGACCUUAGUACGAGAGGACCGGGUUGGACGUACCGCUGGUGCACCUGUUGUUCUGCCAAGGGCAUAGCAGGGUAGCUAAGUACGGACGGGAUAAACGCUGAAGGCAUCUAAGCGUGAAGCCCCCUUCGAGAUAAGAUUUCCCAUAGCGUAGGCUAGUAAGGACCCAUGAAGACUACAUGGUUGAUACGAAGUUACCCAAGGCGCUUGCAACGGCGUUGUCAACCAUGUCGGAGGCGCCAGCGGCAAACGAA
Molecule: ribosomal RNA, 1843 nt
Filed under: human gut metagenome
Description: bacterial LSU rRNA
Rfam family: Bacterial large subunit ribosomal RNA
Source: RNAcentral